GGAAAAUGUACAUCGUAUCUGGAGUCGUGAGAUCAACAAACCAGUAUGCUCCACCAUUUUUAAAUGAAGGCAUUUUCUCUGCCAUGUUUGUAACUGCGAGGAAAAAGCUGAUGAAGACAGGACCCUGAAUAAAAAGUCCCUUCAAUGGGGUAAAUGGGCUCACACCAAACUCAUUAAAAAGUUUUUUCAUUUUUUGUUGACCCUCAGCAACAGCCCUU
This 218-nucleotide unclassified non-coding RNA is filed under the name Hevea brasiliensis (rubber tree). Lineage: Eukaryota; Viridiplantae; Streptophyta; Magnoliopsida; Malpighiales; Euphorbiaceae. The record is from RNAcentral.